CAUACAUGCCCAUUUGACAAAGGCAUUGAAAGUCAUUUGCACCCGAUACUAAUCACGUCUCUUUCCCAAAUCCUGUAAAAACUUAGAUACGCAACUUUGGUUUUGGAAUUAAGAAAUGUUGGCUGGAAUUUGCAGAUCACAAAAGAAAAUAAUGAUGGAGUGAAAAGUGUGCCAUGGUGGAUGUCUUGUUGCUACAAGGACAUCUUGAACUAACUUAAACGCAAGGAGGAGGUUCUAUGGUUGUCGAAAAAUAAGAAACAAAUGAGAAAAGGAUGUGGAUCCUUUGAAUGGAUAGAUCCACUGAUAUGUCCCCGCUCAACACAAGUAAUUCUUGGAUUACUAAGAGCAAUGUUUGAAUUGGAGGAUGACAAACUUAGAUUGAAGAAGAUAUGUGUAGGAUGACAAACUAAGGAACCUAAAAAUGCUAUGGUGCCUGUGGCGAGCUGCUGGCCAACAGCAAAAGCACCUAAAAGUGUGUGAAAGGAAAGAAAGGAAGAGAAGCUGGAGUUGGUUUAGGGAUUUAGGAAAGAAAGGAAGAAAGGAACAGUACUACUAGAGCUGCUGGGCAAAAACAGAAGGAGAAAAUACGGUUUUUUUUUUUUUUCGAAAAUAGCUGCCAACGCACCGUUUAAUUAAAAGGGUCAAAUGAUGGACGGAAAAGAGAAAUUGCUGGUUUUUUUUUUUUUUUUUUUAUUAAAUGGGUGCUUGCAAAGAAGACCUUCUUUUCAUUAAUGAAGACACGUGGUGGUGCAGGAAGACCAAUGGGUGGAUUUUUUUUUUCAAAAGUGAUGCCAACGCACCUAAACAGAGAAAAGCAACGGACGUUGAAGGUGCAUUCCAUUUUAUGCGCACUAGUCCUUUCUGCAGCAUAACUUUAUAAAGACAAUCUAAAAGUUUACCUUUAUUUUUUUAGUUGGUUCAUUUGCUCUUAAUAUAAUAGUUCGUUGUCCAUUGAGCUGUUGAAAAUAUGUAUAACAUGUUCAAAAAAGCAAGUUAAAAUUAAAUAAAACUGAAACUAGAAUAUCAAUAUAAAACUAGA
Ziziphus jujuba (common jujube) is the source of this 1039-nucleotide long non-coding RNA. RefSeq lists it as uncharacterized. NCBI's taxonomy places the organism in Eukaryota, Viridiplantae, Streptophyta, Magnoliopsida, Rosales, Rhamnaceae. The record is from RefSeq and is a predicted model, not a curated record. The transcript has 2 exons.